RNAcentral lists this ribosomal RNA (961 nucleotides) under Enterococcus faecium. RNAcentral describes it as "bacterial SSU rRNA". It matches the Rfam family "Bacterial small subunit ribosomal RNA", at positions 202 to 1152 of the family's 1533-position model. The record is from RNAcentral. Lineage: Bacteria; Bacillati; Bacillota; Bacilli; Lactobacillales; Enterococcaceae.
AAAGGCGCUUUCGGGUGUCGCUGAUGGAUGGACCCGCGGUGCAUUAGCUAGUUGGUGAGGUAACGGCUCACCAAGGCCACGAUGCAUAGCCGACCUGAGAGGGUGAUCGGCCACAUUGGGACUGAGACACGGCCCAAACUCCUACGGGAGGCAGCAGUAGGGAAUCUUCGGCAAUGGACGAAAGUCUGACCGAGCAACGCCGCGUGAGUGAAGAAGGUUUUCGGAUCGUAAAACUCUGUUGUUAGAGAAGAACAAGGAUGAGAGUAACUGUUCAUCCCUUGACGGUAUCUAACCAGAAAGCCACGGCUAACUACGUGCCAGCAGCCGCGGUAAUACGUAGGUGGCAAGCGUUGUCCGGAUUUAUUGGGCGUAAAGCGAGCGCAGGCGGUUUCUUAAGUCUGAUGUGAAAGCCCCCGGCUCAACCGGGGAGGGUCAUUGGAAACUGGGAGACUUGAGUGCAGAAGAGGAGAGUGGAAUUCCAUGUGUAGCGGUGAAAUGCGUAGAUAUAUGGAGGAACACCAGUGGCGAAGGCGGCUCUCUGGUCUGUAACUGACGCUGAGGCUCGAAAGCGUGGGGAGCAAACAGGAUUAGAUACCCUGGUAGUCCACGCCGUAAACGAUGAGUGCUAAGUGUUGGAGGGUUUCCGCCCUUCAGUGCUGCAGCUAACGCAUUAAGCACUCCGCCUGGGGAGUACGACCGCAAGGUUGAAACUCAAAGGAAUUGACGGGGGCCCGCACAAGCGGUGGAGCAUGUGGUUUAAUUCGAAGCAACGCGAAGAACCUUACCAGGUCUUGACAUCCUUUGACCACUCUAGAGAUAGAGCUUCCCCUUCGGGGGCAAAGUGACAGGUGGUGCAUGGUUGUCGUCAGCUCGUGUCGUGAGAUGUUGGGUUAAGUCCCGCAACGAGCGCAACCCUUAUUGUUAGUUGCCAUCAUUCAGUUGGGCACUCUAGCAAGACUGC